AGGAAAUAAAUCACUUUUUUUGUGAUGUACCUCCACUCAUACAGGUAGCUUGUAACCCCACACAGACCAGUAAAAUAUUACUUUAUGUGGUCAGUGUGUUCCUGGGAAUAAGUCCCUUUCUCUAUAUUGUCAUAUCAUAUGUCCAUAUCAUCUCCACAGUUAUUAGAAUAAGUUCUUCUGAUGGCCGAGGAAAAGCCUUUUCUACUUGCUCGUCUCAUCUGAUUGUUGUGACUGUAUUUUAUGGGACAGCAAACUUUAAUUACGUGGGGCCAACCUCUGGUUAUUCUCUGGAAGUCGAGCGUUUUGCUUCCUUGUUGUACAGCAUUUUAACUCCUCUUUUAAAUCCAAUUAUUUACUGCUUGAGAAACAAGGAAGUAAAGAAUGCCAUGGGAAAAACAUUUAGGAGAAUUUAUUUUAAGACUCAUAAG
This is a non-coding RNA of Pelobates cultripes (western spadefoot toad), 428 nucleotides long. The record is from the annotation of a GenBank genome assembly. Lineage: Eukaryota; Metazoa; Chordata; Amphibia; Anura; Pelobatidae.